RNAcentral lists this small RNA (1091 nucleotides) under Arabidopsis thaliana (thale cress). RNAcentral describes it as "ATSL286670". The record is from RNAcentral. Lineage: Eukaryota; Viridiplantae; Streptophyta; Magnoliopsida; Brassicales; Brassicaceae.
UUAAUAUUGAAGUUUAGAAUAUUUAGCAUUAUCUCUAAAUAUGUUAUUUACAUUUAUAUUUAUCUUAGAUUAGAAAAUCAGAUUAAUUUCAUCUCUAUAUAAAAAAAAAUGUUAUAACUUUGGGAAAUUUGAAAAACUAACCCACAAAAAAACUAUAAUUAAGAAAGUAACAUUACCAAAAAAAUGAGAUGAUAUUCUUUGUAUUUUAUAUAUUAAUCCCAACUUUACCCUCUUUCCUUCUCUCUCUUUCUCUCUUUCCUUCUCUCUUUCCUUCUCUCUCUCCUUCUCUCUCUCUCUCGCCUGUCUCCCUACUUCUUUUUUUUCUCUCUCUUUCUCUCCCUCUCUCUCUCCUUCUCUCUCUCCUUCUCUCUCUCUCCUUCUCUCUCUCCUCUCCGCCUUUCUCCUUACUUCUUUUUUUCUUUCUCUCCAAAUGACCUCUAUGCUUAUUUUUGUUUUUAGUUACAGUUUAUUAAUUACCUUUUUGUGAGAUUUAUUUAGAUUCUAAGCUUUGUUUUUUUUUUUGUCUUUUUUGAAACAUAAUUUUAACAUCAAAAUGCAUCUAUGGUCUGAAACUAAUUUAUCACUUAAUUUUUUUGUUCUUCAUAGUUACAAACUCACCACAUAUCUACAAUAAAUUAAGGAUCAUUAUUAAAUGUUAAUAAAUUAGGGAUCAUUCUUAGAUCUAGAAGCGAUGAAGGGUUUACGAUGGUAGAAAUUCUAAAAGGAAAUAGCCAAUAAAUCGAUUUUGAUUUUGAAAGACUUUUGACAGAUACUAUUCUAUUUUGUGAAUAUACUAUUUACGUAUACCUUGUAUUAUAUACGUUUUAAAAUGAAUUGUUUGUUUUGAUUAAGGAUGUUAAGUGAUUUGAUUAGUGUUUUAUAUUAAAAGCUUUGGGUUCCCUAUAUAUUAUCUUAGGGUUUAGUAUUCUUCCAUCAAAAAGUAUUUAAUUGAUUAUUUGGAUUCAUCAGAACAAACGUUUCUAUUUGAACAAAUAUAUACUAUUCUAUUUUUCUGUGAUGAUAUGUAUAGAACUUGGUACUACUAUUCACUUUUUAAAAAAUUUGUUUCCGAUUUUUAAAAUUCAAAUCAU